AGGCUUUAGAUAGAUGUCAGCUUGGUGAUAAAGUUAGAAAGAAUGAAGGAAAGCUUUAUUGUGCAGUGACUGAGAAUGGAGAAAAUUGGAGCAUGGGUCAAAGGCAGCUAGCUUGUUUAGGGCGGGUACUGCUCAAGAGGAGCAAAGUGUUAAUACUUGAUGAAGCUACUGCAUCAGUGGAUACUGCAACUGACUAUCUAAUUCAGCAAACGCU
Molecule: long non-coding RNA, 214 nt
Organism: Telopea speciosissima
Lineage: Eukaryota; Viridiplantae; Streptophyta; Magnoliopsida; Proteales; Proteaceae
Exons: 2
Source: RefSeq, a predicted model, not a curated record